UGCAACAAGAUUUGACUCCAAACGCCGGGGUGACACUGACAACCGGCAGGAAAAAUCUAACUCUUUAUGUUCCGAAGGCUCAACAAGAACUCCCACCACUGCCAAGGAGAGGCUGAUGGAAGCCUUUGUGUCCAUCCAGCUGGAAAAAGUGGGUCUGCGUGAUGAGAUGCUGAAUUCAUUUAUGAAGAAGAAACAGGCCGUAGGGGGUCUUAUAAAAACCCCAGAGGAAGCAGUGAAGAUCAAAAGGAGCCUCAUAAUCGACUUUCUCAAGAAGUACGUGCAUGAAAAACAGCUCUAUUCCUUUUGUUACAAGACAAUACACAACCCGUCUCAUAAGAGU
This is a long non-coding RNA of Lates calcarifer (barramundi perch), 340 nucleotides long. RefSeq lists it as uncharacterized. NCBI's taxonomy places the organism in Eukaryota, Metazoa, Chordata, Actinopteri, Centropomidae. The transcript is spliced from 3 exons. The record is from RefSeq and is a predicted model, not a curated record.